UUUUUUUUUUUUUUUUUUUUUUUUUUUUUUUUUUCAUCAAAUA
Molecule: non-coding RNA, 43 nt
Filed under: Prorocentrum micans
Lineage: Eukaryota; Dinophyceae; Prorocentrales; Prorocentraceae
Source: RNAcentral